ACUCUGACAGGGAUAUCGGCUCUAGCAUCGAUGAAGAAACGUGGCGAAAUCGAUACUUGGUGUGAAUUGCGAAUCCGUGAACCAUCCCGGUCUUUGAAGCAAAGUUAAGCCCCAAACCUUACGGCGAGAACGCGUCUGCUGGGUGUCACAAAUCGUCGUCCCCAUCCUCGAGGAUAUCGGACGGAAGCUGGUCUCCGUGUGUUACCGCCGCAGCGGUUGGCCAAAAUCCUAGCUAAGGAUGCCGGGGCGUCUUGACAUGCGGUGGUGAAUUCAAUUCUCGUCAAAUCGUCGGUCGUUUGGUCCAAAGCUCUUGAUGACCCAAAGUCCUCAAAUGACCCCAGGUCGGCCGGGAUCACCAGCUGAGUUUAAACAUAUCAAUAAAAGCGGAGGAAAAACUAACAAGGAUUCCCUUAAUAACGGCGGCGAACGGGAAGAGCCCGGCUUGAAAAAUCGGACGUCUUGGCGUUGAAUUAUAGUCUGGAGAAGCGUCCUCAGCGUGGACCGGGCCCCAAGUUCCCUGGAAAGGGCGCCAGAGGUGAAACCCGUCGUGCGGACCCUGUCGCUUUCCGCAGCUAAUCUCUGAGAGUCGGGUUGUUUGGGAAUGCAGCCCCAAUCGGGCGGUAAAUUCCGUCGAAAGGCUAAAUAUGGGCGAAGACCGAUGGCGAACAAGUACCGCGAGGUAAAGAUGAAAAGGACUUUGAAAAGUCAAAGUGCUUGAAAUUGUCGGGAGGGGAAGCGGAUGGGGGCGGCGAUGCGUCCCGGUCCGGAUCGCGAGCGGAACAAUCCGGUCCAUACCGUCGAUUCGAGGCGUGGACCGGCGGGAUUAAGGUGGUGACCUAAGCCCGAGCUUUUAUUUCGCCAGCGGAGGCGUCGCUGCCUUAAUCGUGGUCUGCAACCGCAGCCCUCCUGGCGUGCCUCGGCAUCUGCGUGCUCGAGGGCGUCGGCCUGUGGGCUCCCCAUUCGACCCGUCUUGAAACCACGGACCAAAGGAGUCUGACAUGUGUGCGAGUCAACGGGUGGAAAUAAACCUGUAAAGGCAUAAAGGAAGCUGAUUGGCUGGAUCCCUCACGGUGCACAGCCGACCGACCUGAUUUUACGAAGGUUCGAGUGUGAGCAUGCUGCCGGGACCGAAAGAUGGUGAACUAUGCCUGGCGGAAGCGAAGCCAGAGAAACUCUGGUGGAGGCCAUAGCGAUCUGGCGAUGCAAAUCGUUAAAUGGAAACUUGGGUAUAGAGGCGAAAGACUAAUCGAACCAUCUAAGCUGGUUCCCUCCGAAGUUUCCCUCGGGAUAGCUGGGGCUUCGGAAGCGAGUUCUAUCGGGUAAAAGCCAAUGAUUAGAGGCAUCGGGGGCCAUAGCGUCCUCGACCUAUUCUCAAACUUUAAAUAGGUAGGGCCCAGGUGGCUGCUUUGUUGAAACCAUCCCACGGAAUCGAGAGCUCCAGUGGGCCAUUUUGGUAAGCGAGAACUGGCGUCUGCGGGAUGAACGCGAAGCGGGUUCGGUGCCCAACUGCUGCAACCUAGAACCCACAAAGGGUGUUGGUGAUUAAGACAGCAGGGCGGUGGUCAUGGAAGUCGAAAUCCUUAAGGAGUGUGUAACAACUCACCUGCGAAUCAACUAGCCCCCAAAAUGGAUGGCUGAAAGCCUUGACCCUAUCUACCGACCGUCGGGGCAAAGGCCAGACCUCGAUGAGUAGGAGGGAAGCGGUCGCUGCAAAACCUAGAAACGAGCCCGGUAGCGACCCGUCGGUGCAGAUCUUGGUGGUAGUAGCAAAUAUUCAAAUGAGAACUUUGAAGGCGAAGGGGAAAGGUUCCAUGUGAGCGGCACUUGCACAUGGGUUAGUCGAUCCUAAGAGUGGAAACCGUCUGAUAAGCGCUUAUCACGCUUGAACCGAAAGGGAUCGGUUAAAAUUCGGAACGGGGCGUGGCGGUUGGCCAAAGCGUUAGAGUCGGGAGGCGUCGGCGGAAUUCGGAAAGAGUUAUCUUUUCUGUUUAACAGCCUGCCCACCACGGAAGCGGCUCAGCCCGGUAGGGUCCAAGCGACUGGAAAAGCACCGCCGUCGCGUGGUGUCGAUUGCAUUCCGGCGACCCUUGAAAAUCGGAGGGCCAAAGUGCGCUCACGCCCGGUCAUUACUCAUAACGCAUCAGGUCUCCAAGGUGAACAGCCUCUGUCGAUGGAACAAUGUAGGCAAGGGAAGUCGGCAAAAUGGAUCCGUAACCGGGAAAAGUUUGGCUCGAGGGGCUGGGCUCGGGGUCCCAGUUCGAACCCGUCGACUGUUGGCGGGCUGCUUGAGCCCAUAGCGUGGCGAAGCGGACCCGCUUCGUGUCGGCCGGACGGACUGGGAGCGGCUCUUUAGGGAGCUUUCCCGGGCGUCGAACAACCAACUUCGAACUGGUGGGACAAGGGAAUCCGACUGUUUAAUUAAAACAAAGCAUUGCGAUGGUCCUUCGCGGAUGCUAGCGCCAAUGUGAUUUCUGCCAAGUGCUCUGAAUGUCAAAGUGAAGAAAUUCAACCAAAGCGGGUAGAUGGCGGCGGGAGUAACUAUGACUCUCUUAAAGGUAGCCAAAUGCCUCGUCAUCUAAUUAGUGGCGCGCAUGAAUGGAUUAACGAGAUUCCCCUGUCCUGUCUACUAUCCAUGAAAACCACAGCCAAAGGGGCGGGCUUGGCAGAAUCAGCGGGGAAAGAAGACCCUGUUGAGCUUGACUCUAGUCGACUUUGUGAAAUGACUUGAGGGUGUAGAAUAAGUGGGAACUCGGUAUGAGUGAAAUACCACUACUUUUAGCGUUAUUUUACUUACUCAGUGAAUCGGAGGCGGUAACAACCCUUCUUUUAGACCAAGACUUCGCCGGUAGGUCGAUCGGAGCGGAGGAGGACAUUGUCGGUGGGGAGUUUGGCUGGGGCGGCACAUCUGUUAAAGAUAGCGCCAAGGUGUCUAAGAUGAGCUCAGCGAGAACAAAAUCUCGUGUGGAACAAAAGGGUAAAAGCUCGUUUGAUUCUGAUUUUCAAUGCGAAUCUGAACCGUGGCGUGGCCUAUCGAUCCUUUAGAUCUUGAAUUUGAAGCUAGAGGUGUCGGAAAAGUUACCACAGGGAUAACUGGCUUGGCAGCCAAAGCGUUCAUAGCGGCGUUGCUUUUGAUCCUUCGAUGUCGGCUCUUCCUAUCAUUGUGAAGCAAAUUCACCAAGUGUUGGAUUGUUCACCCACAAAUAGGGAGCGUGAGCUGGGUUUUAGACCGUCGUGAGACAGGUUAGUUUUACCCUCUCUGCCAGCGUCGCAAUAGUAAUUCAACCUAAUGCGAGAGGAACGUUGAUUAGCCGCGGUUGGUCAUCGGCGCUUUGGUUGAAAAGCCGAUGUGAAGCUACCGUCGCUGGAUUAUGACUGAGCGCCUCUAAGUCAGAAUCCGGGGCUAGAAGCGGCGCAUCGCCCGCCGCCCGAUUGCCGACCCUCGGUAGGAGCUUGGCUCCCAAAGGCCGCGUGUCGUUGGCUAAGUCCGUUCGGUGGAGCGCCCGUUGGACCGCUUAAUUAUAAUUACCACCGUGGCGGGUAGAAUCCUUUGCGGGCGACUUAAAUCUGCGACGGGGUAUUGUAAGUGGCAGAGUGGCCUUGCUGCCACGAUCCACUGAAUUCAGCCCUUUGUUAAGCUAAGAUUGAACCCUCCCCCUUUC
This 3659-nucleotide ribosomal RNA is filed under the name Brassica oleracea (wild cabbage). RNAcentral's name for it is "eukaryotic LSU rRNA". It matches the Rfam family "Eukaryotic large subunit ribosomal RNA". Lineage: Eukaryota; Viridiplantae; Streptophyta; Magnoliopsida; Brassicales; Brassicaceae. The record is from RNAcentral.